ACUGAAUAGAUACCCCGGUAGUCCACGCCCUAAACGAUGUCUACUAGUUGUCGGGGAUUCAUUUCCUUGGUAAACGCAGCUAAACGCGUGAAGUAGACCGCCUGGGGAGUACGGCCGCAAGGUUAAAACUCAAAGGAAUUGACGGGGACCCGCACAAGCGGUGGAUGAUGUGGAUUAAUUCGAUGCAACGCGAAAAACCUUACCUACGCUUGACAUGCCAGGAACUUUCCAGAGAUGGAUUGGUGCCCGAAAGGGAACCUGGACACAGGUGCUGCAUGGCUGUCGUCAGCUCGUGUCGUGAGAUGUUGGGUUAAGUCCCGCAACGAGCGCAACCCUUAUCCUUAGUUGCUACGCAAGGGCACUCUAGGGAGACUGCCGGUGACAAACCGGAGGAAGUGGGGAUGACGUCAAGUCCCCAUGGCCCUUAUGUGUAGGGCUUCACACGUCAUACAAUGGUCGGUACAGAGGGUCGCCAACCCGCAGGGGGUAGCCAAUCCCAGAAAACCGAUCGUAGUCCGGAUUGCAGUCUGCAACUCGACUGCAUGAA
Molecule: ribosomal RNA, 547 nt
Filed under: uncultured bacterium
Lineage: Bacteria
Description: bacterial SSU rRNA
Rfam family: Bacterial small subunit ribosomal RNA
Source: RNAcentral